AACAGCCACAAGAAGACAUAUGGGCCUUACGGAAACAAAACUCAAAACUACUUUUCAGCUGACGCACCCAAAGAUAGCCAAAUCGCUGGGUUUCUAGGAACCAGCGGCAAUGCUCUCAGCUCCCUCGACGUUCACUUUGCUCCCAUUCCUACCCCUGGUAGCAUCAAACCACAACCUGGUGGUUCUGGAAAUGAAUCUGGUGGUGGCGGCGGUGGUUCAAACCCUGGUGGUUCUGGAAAUGAAUCUGGUGGCGGCGGUGGUUCUGGAAAUGAAACCGGUAAAGAUGGACCAGGAAAGAUGGGACCGCUUGGUGGUGAUAAGGGAAAUAUAUUCGACGAUGUUGGUUUCGAAGGUGUGAAGAAAAUAACCGUCGGAGCAGAUCAGUA
RNAcentral lists this long non-coding RNA (386 nucleotides) under Brassica napus (rape). RNAcentral describes it as "long non-coding RNA (BNAP_LNC012833)". The record is from RNAcentral. Lineage: Eukaryota; Viridiplantae; Streptophyta; Magnoliopsida; Brassicales; Brassicaceae.